This 19-nucleotide transfer RNA is filed under the name Scapania undulata. RNAcentral's name for it is "partial tRNA-Phe". RNAcentral also lists the same sequence under 9 other names. Lineage: Eukaryota; Viridiplantae; Streptophyta; Jungermanniopsida; Jungermanniales; Scapaniaceae. The record is from RNAcentral.
UGCCGGGAUAGCUCAGUUG